UUUAUUCGCUGAAUCAAUUUUUGAACGGGGAAACCAUUUUUUGGAUAGGUUAUCUAUCCUUGGGGUGAAUCUUACUUUUGUAAGAAGGGAUACUCUCAAUUCCUAAUCCGACAGCUAACCUCGUAAGCGUUA
This 132-nucleotide small RNA is filed under the name uncultured Ferdinandcohnia sp. Its description in RNAcentral is "ydaO/yuaA leader". It matches the Rfam family "c-di-AMP riboswitch aptamer (ydaO/yuaA leader)", at positions 11 to 122 of the family's 134-position model. From Rfam's summary of the family: This family represents a conserved RNA structure found upstream of the ydaO and yuaA genes in Bacillus subtilis and related genes in other bacteria. The ydaO/yuaA element is thought to act as a genetic "off" switch for the ydaO and yuaA genes in its native state. The record is from RNAcentral. Lineage: Bacteria; Bacillati; Bacillota; Bacilli; Caryophanales; Bacillaceae.